Molecule: transfer RNA, 72 nt
Filed under: Pleodorina starrii
Lineage: Eukaryota; Viridiplantae; Chlorophyta; Chlorophyceae; Chlamydomonadales; Volvocaceae
Rfam family: tRNA
About the family: Transfer RNA (tRNA) molecules are approximately 80 nucleotides in length. Their secondary structure includes four short double-helical elements and three loops (D, anti-codon, and T loops).
Source: Rfam by way of RNAcentral
GCCGUUGUAGCUCAGUGGUAGAGCGUUGGUCUUGUAAACCAAAGGUCCCUGGUUCGAUCCCGGGCUGCGGCA